CUGGCUGGGGACUCUGCUGACAUAAUCUAAUGUUUUGCUUUCGUUGUAAAGCCUUUUUGAAAUCGGACAGUGUGGUUAGAUUAACGAGAGUCUUAUCUUUAACCUGUUGGGGCUCGGGGGCAGUAUUGAGAAAUUUUGAAAAAAAUAUGUGCCCAUUUUUAACUGCCUCCUACACCAACUCAGAAGCUAGGAUAUGCAUAUUAUUAACACAUUCGGAUAGAAAACACUCUGAAUUUUCUAAAACAGUUUGAAUGGUGUCUGUAAGUAUAACAAAACUCAUAUUGCAGGCAAAAACCUGUGAAAAAUAGAUUUAAAAAAAAAUGAAUUUUGUGACUGUACUAUUUAGUGUCAUUGUUUUAUAGAUACCAUAGUGAGAAAGGAUUCAUUUCGCAACUCCUACGGCUUCCACUAGAUGUCAACGAUCUUUAUAAAGUUGUUUGAAGCGUCUAUGAUAAACAGAGAGAAAAUUAGAAUGCAAGGAAGUUGACAUGUCGUCACUUCAUUUUUUUGCGCCUGCGCACAAAUCUGAGAAGCGUGAGUUUGUCAUAAUUGUUUAUCUAGACAUAGGAUAGGUUGUGUGAAAAUAUUACUGAUGUUUAACGUUAAAAAUGGACCAAAAGAUUAAUGCUAAACAACGUUUGACAUGUUUGAACGAACGUAAAUAGAUUAUUUACUAGGUUUUUUUUGCUUUUCGGCGUGAUUUUACACCCCCCCCCACCACGUUUUGUGGGAGCAUAAUGAACGCUAACAACUUGGUGUUAUUUGGACAUAAAUUAUGAACUUUGUCAAAAGAAACCACAUUUGUUCUGGACCUGCGAUUCCUGGCAGUGCCUUCUGAUGGAGAUAAUCAAAGUUCUGUUUCCUAGUUUUUACCGGAUCUGACCACUGAAUGCAAUGACCCUGAGCCUGCCUGCCUGCCAUCCUGUACCUACCUGACUCUGACCUGAUUACGAACCUCUGACUGCCCUGACCCCGAGCCUGCCUGCCGUCCUGUACAUGCCUGUCACGAUCGUCGUUGGUUAAGGAGGACCAAAGUGCCGCAGCUUGCGGGAUUUCUUCUUCAUCUGAAGAUGAUGCAUCAUGCUCUGGGUUGUAUUCUUCCCCGUCUUCUUCUUCAAAUACCUCCUCCUCUUCUAAAUCAUUGUUCUCUUGUUCCUCCUGGACAUCUGAAAAAAUCAGAUUGACGACCUGUAGGCACUGAAAUGUGCUCUCAUGGCUUCAGCAAAGAGAAAACGAUGGACUGUCAUCUGCAGCAACUUUAUAGCCUCUGACUGCAUUCCCCAAUAGUAAACAAUGCUUUCAGGAAAUGUUUAGUUUGUCUGAAAUGUUGUUUAUUUUGUCUGAAAUGUUGUUUAUUUUGUCUGUGAACUUGAGUCAUGUUUGGGGUCGUGGAGGGGAGAUGCUGCACAUGCACAAUACAUUUUAGUUUUGUCUUAGUUCAAUCAGUAGCACACAUAAUCUCAAUUUCUCGUGUGUGUGUGUGUGUGUGUGUGUGUGUGUGUGUGUGUGUGUGUGUGUGUGUGUGUGUGUGUGUGUGUGUGUGUGUGUGUGUGUGUGUGUGUGUGUGUGUGUGUGUGUGUGUGUGUGUGUGUGGGUAUCUUUGUGGUUUUUGUGGUGUGUAAACGAUUUUAUAACUGCCGGGUCCUGGUGGUGUACAGCUUCAUGGAAAUAUUAACAAAUGCGAUAUUUCACUUUUUUAACCUCUCUGGGCUACUCAACAGCCAGUGGAAUCCCGUGGCGCGAUAUUCAAAUACCUUAGAAAUGCUAUUACUUCAAUUUCUCAAACAUAUGACUAUUUU
This 1799-nucleotide long non-coding RNA is filed under the name Salmo salar (Atlantic salmon). Its description in RNAcentral is "lncRNA (ENSSSAG00000117802.1)". The record is from RNAcentral. Lineage: Eukaryota; Metazoa; Chordata; Actinopteri; Salmoniformes; Salmonidae.